UACGGAGGGUGCAAGCGUGUCCGGAUUUAUUGGGUUUAAAGGGUGCGUAGGCGGCCCUGUAAGUCAGUGGUGAAAUACUGCAGCUUAACUGUAGCAUUGCCAUUGAUACUGUAGGGCUUGAGUACAGAUGAGGUAGGCGGAAUUGAUGGUGUAGCGGUGAAAUGCAUAGAUACCAUCAAGAACACCGAUUGCGAAGGCAGCUUACUAGCUGUAAACUGACGCUGGAGGCACGAAAGCGUGGGGAUCAACAGG
Molecule: ribosomal RNA, 252 nt
Filed under: uncultured bacterium
Lineage: Bacteria
Description: partial 16S ribosomal RNA
Rfam family: Bacterial small subunit ribosomal RNA
Source: RNAcentral